RNAcentral lists this ribosomal RNA (478 nucleotides) under uncultured bacterium. RNAcentral describes it as "partial 16S ribosomal RNA". It matches the Rfam family "Bacterial small subunit ribosomal RNA", at positions 28 to 523 of the family's 1533-position model. The record is from RNAcentral.
GACGAACGCUGGCGGCGUGCUUAACACAUGCAAGUCGAACGGUAAGGCCCUUCGGGGUACACGAGUGGCGAACGGGUGAGUAACACGUGGGUGAUCUGCCCUGCACUUCGGGAUAAGCCUGGGAAACUGGGUCUAAUACCGGAUAGGACCACUGCCUGCAUGGGUGGUGGUGGAAAGCUUUUGCUGUGUGGGAUGGGCCCGCGGCCUAUCAGCGUGUUGGUGGGGUAAUGGCCUACCAAGGCGACGACGGGUAGCCGGCCUGAGAGGGUGACCGGUCACACUGGGACUGAGAUACGGCCCAGACUCCUACGGGAGGCAGCAGUGGGGAAUAUUGCACAAUGGGCGCAAGCCUGAUGCAGCGACGCCGCGUGAGGGAUGACGGCCUUCGGGUUGUAAACCUCUUUCAGCUAUGACGAAGCGCAAGUGACGGUAGUAGCAGAAGAAGGACCGGCCAACUACGUGCCAGCCGCCGCCGUAA